AACGAACGCUGGCGGCAUGCCUAACACAUGCAAGUCGAACGAGAUCUUCGGGUCUAGUGGCGCACGGGUGCGUAUCGCGUGGGAAUCUGCCCUUUGGUUCGGAAUAACAGUUGGAAACGACUGCUAAUACCGGAUGAUGACGAAAGUCCAAAGAUUUAUCGCCAGAGGAUGAGCCCGCGUAGGAUUAGCUAGUUGGAGUGGUAAAGGCGCACCAAGGCGACGAUCCUUAGCUGGUCUGAGAGGAUGAUCAGCCACACUGGGACUGAGACACGGCCCAGACUCCUACGGGAGGCAGCAGUGGGGAAUAUUGGACAAUGGGCGAAAGCCUGAUCCAGCAAUGCCGCGUGAGUGAUGAAGGCCUUAGGGUUGUAAAGCUCUUUUACCCGGGAUGAUAAUGACAGUACCGGGAGAAUAAGCUCCGGCUAACUCCGUGCCAGCCGCCGCGGUAA
Molecule: ribosomal RNA, 449 nt
Filed under: uncultured bacterium
Lineage: Bacteria
Description: partial 16S ribosomal RNA
Rfam family: Bacterial small subunit ribosomal RNA
Source: RNAcentral